CGGUAACAGAUCUAGCUUGCUAGAUGCUGACGAGCGGCGGACGGGUGAGUAACGCGUGGGAAUAUGCCCAAUAGUGGGGGAUAGCCAGGGGAAACUCUGAUUAAUACCGCAUAAGCCCUUAGGGGGAAAGCGGGGGAUCUUCGGACCUCGCGCUAUUGGAUUAGCCCGCGUCAGAUUAGCUAGUUGGUAGGGUAAGAGCCUACCAAGGCGACGAUCUGUAGCUGGCCUGAGAGGGUGGUCAGCCACACUGGGACUGAGACACGGCCCAGACUCC
Molecule: ribosomal RNA, 274 nt
Filed under: uncultured bacterium
Lineage: Bacteria
Description: partial 16S ribosomal RNA
Rfam family: Bacterial small subunit ribosomal RNA
Source: RNAcentral